AAGUAUAUUUGAGUGCAAAAUGCUCAUUGUCACUAAGUCUCUUUUCAAAAAUCCACAGGGCAGCACAUCAGCAUAUCACCUUGUUGGGAGCACAGCUGCAGGGAGAUGAUGUUCUUUCACCACAUUGCUCUUUGGUGGGUGCAAGACUGAUGCUGCUCAGUGCCACUGGCUGUCACCAUGACAUGACAGAGGGAUUGAGGGGGACACAGGACUGCAAGAGGCAGAAGCCUGGCAGCACUCUUCCUUAAUUUAAGUACCAAGCAGAAAAGGGUGUUUUUAAGCAAAGUGUUUAUCUUGUUAGAGAAUGCUCUUGUGGUUAAAGCAUUGCACUGGACUUCUGGAAAUCUGACAUUAAUGCCU
RNAcentral lists this long non-coding RNA (360 nucleotides) under Coturnix japonica (Japanese quail). RNAcentral's name for it is "lncRNA (ENSCJPG00005016560.1)". The record is from RNAcentral. Lineage: Eukaryota; Metazoa; Chordata; Aves; Galliformes; Phasianidae.